RNAcentral lists this ribosomal RNA (653 nucleotides) under Salmonella enterica. RNAcentral's name for it is "partial 23S ribosomal RNA". It matches the Rfam family "Bacterial large subunit ribosomal RNA", at positions 667 to 1316 of the family's 2925-position model. The record is from RNAcentral. Lineage: Bacteria; Pseudomonadati; Pseudomonadota; Gammaproteobacteria; Enterobacterales; Enterobacteriaceae.
CGGAGGGAAACCGAGUCUUAAUUGGGCGUUAAGUUGCAGGGUAUAGACCCGAAACCCGGUGAUCUAGCCAUGGGCAGGUUGAAGGUUGGGUAACACUAACUGGAGGACCGAACCGACUAAUGUUGAAAAAUUAGCGGAUGACCUGUGGCUGGGGGUGAAAGGCCAAUCAAACCGGGAGAUAGCUGGUUCUCCCCGAAAGCUAUUUAGGUAGCGCCUCGUGAAUUCAUCUCCGGGGGUAGAGCACUGUUUCGGCUAGGGGGCCAUCCCGGCUUACCAACCCGAUGCAAACUGCGAAUACCGGAGAAUGUUAUCACGGGAGACACACGGCGGGUGCUAACGUCCGUCGUGAAGAGGGAAACAACCCAGACCGCCAGCUAAGGUCCCAAAGUCAUGGUUAAGUGGGAAACGAUGUGGGAAGGCCCAGACAGCCAGGAUGUUGGCUUAGAAGCAGCCAUCAUUUAAAGAAAGCGUAAUAGCUCACUGGUCGAGUCGGCCUGCGCGGAAGAUGUAACGGGGCUAAACCAUGCACCGAAGCUGCGGCAGCGACGCUUAUGCGUUGUUGGGUAGGGGAGCGUUCUGUAAGCCUGUGAAGGUGGCCUGUGAGGGUUGCUGGAGGUAUCAGAAGUGCGAAUGCUGACAUAAGUAACGAUAAA